This 349-nucleotide ribosomal RNA is filed under the name uncultured bacterium. RNAcentral describes it as "bacterial SSU rRNA". It matches the Rfam family "Bacterial small subunit ribosomal RNA", at positions 1 to 334 of the family's 1533-position model. The record is from RNAcentral.
GACGUGACUUCAGAGUUUGAUCCUGGCUCAGGAUGAACGCUAGCGGCAGGCUUAACACAUGCAAGUCGAGGGGCAGCAUGAGACGGAGAUUCGUCGAAGUCUUGAUGGCGACCGGCGCAAGGGUGCGUAACGCGUGAGCAACUUGCCCGUUUCUGGUGAAUAACCGGUGGAAACGCCGACUAAUACACCAUAGUAUAUUCGAGAGGCAUCUCUUGAAUAUUAAAGAAUUUCGGAAACGGAUAGGCUCGCGUGACGUUAGCUAGAUGGCGGGGUAACGGCCCACCAUGGCUACGAUGUCUAGGGGUUCUGAGAGGAAGGUCCCCCACACUGGAACUGAGACACGGUCCAG